UACGGGGGGGGCAAGCGUUGUUCGGAAUUACUGGGCGUAAAGGGUUCGUAGGUGGCCAACUAAGUCAUACGUGAAAUCCCUCAGCUUAACUGGGGAACUGCGUCUGAUACUGGUUGGCUUGAGUGCAGGAGAGGAACGCGGAAUUCCAGGUGUAGCGGUGAAAUGCGUAGAUAUCUGGAGGAACACCAGUGGCGAAAGCGCGUGACUGGGCCACAACUGACGCUGAGGAACGAAAGCCAGGGGAGCGAAAGGG
Molecule: ribosomal RNA, 253 nt
Filed under: uncultured bacterium
Lineage: Bacteria
Description: partial 16S ribosomal RNA
Rfam family: Bacterial small subunit ribosomal RNA
Source: RNAcentral